AUUGAACGCUGGCGGCAUGCUUUACACAUGCAAGUCGAACGGUAACAGGCCGCAAGGUGCUGACGAGUGGCGAACGGGUGAGUAAUGCAUCGGAACGUGCCCAGUCGUGGGGGAUAACGCAGCGAAAGCUGUGCUAAUACCGCAUACGAUCUAUGGAUGAAAGCGGGGGACCGUAAGGCCUCGCGCGAUUGGAGCGGCCGAUGUCAGAUUAGGUAGUUGGUGGGGUAAAGGCCUACCAAGCCGACGAUCUGUAGCUGGUCUGAGAGGACGACCAGCCACACUGGGACCGAGACACGGCCCAGACUCCUACGGGAGGCAGCAGUGGGGAAUUUUGGACAAUGGGCGCAAGCCUGGUCCAGCAAUGCCGCGUGCAGGAAGAAGGCCUUCGGGUUGUAAACUGCUUUUGUACGGAACGAAACGGUCUGGGUUAAUACCCUGGGCUAAUGACGGUACCGUAAGAAUAAGCACCGGCUAACUACGUGCCAGCCGCCGCAGUAA
Molecule: ribosomal RNA, 498 nt
Filed under: uncultured bacterium
Lineage: Bacteria
Description: partial 16S ribosomal RNA
Rfam family: Bacterial small subunit ribosomal RNA
Source: RNAcentral